RNAcentral lists this long non-coding RNA (2075 nucleotides) under Glycine max (soybean). Its description in RNAcentral is "long non-coding RNA (GMAX_LNC003373)". Lineage: Eukaryota; Viridiplantae; Streptophyta; Magnoliopsida; Fabales; Fabaceae. The record is from RNAcentral.
UUUUGGUCUCAUUUUCGUUUUUCCCCUUCUCCUCUCAAAACCCUUUCUUUUUCCCGCAGCCCACCAAACCAGUCUCAGAAAAACGACGAUCUCGAACCCGUUCACCGUUGGAUCGUCGUGAAAUUUGAGUAUCAUGUUCGCAACAGAAUUCCGAGCAUUCUCACCGUUGGGAAUUUUGAUAUCAUGUCUGAACUGAGAGAAACACCCUUCGCAUUGUAGCCUUUUUCUUUCCCGCAGAAACCCAGAGCUGUCUUGGUAAAACUACGAUCCCGGUUUCGUUAACCGUUGGAUUAUUGUGAAAUUUGGAUAUGUUGUUCGAAAUUCAAUUCCGCACGCUUCCACCGUUGGGAUUUGCGAGAUAAUAUUCGUGGAAGGAGAAAAAGGAAUCGCAUGAAGACAGUAUAAGUGGAGGUUUCAAUCUCUUCUCCGUCUCUCUGACGUUUGGGAAUUCUAUCGGAGCAGUCGGAGGAAUAACUGAAAGAAUUUCAGGGAACCGCUAAAGAUGUUGCUAUCCCUGGCUGAAGACACGCGAGUCCGCUCAGAGGUAAGGGAUGAGUUAUUCACAGUUGGGGAUUAGUGAGAACAUGUGUAGGGAUCCUUAGAGGAUUAAAUUGAGGUUUUAUUUUGAGAUGUUUAUUAAAUUGCAAUUUUUCCUUUAUGAUUAUAAAUAAAAUAUUGAUGUCCUAAUGAAAAUUGCUUGAUAAAUUGUGUUCUUGAUAUUUGUAUAUUUCGACCUAUGAUUUUGAUAUAAUUGUGUAAUAUUAGUUAAGGGGUUUUAGUCCUAAUGUUGUGAUAGUGUUUUAUAUAAAUUGUUAUAUUGAGGAUAUGAAAUGAUGAUUCAAAUUGUGAGUAUGUGAUGAAUUGUAGAAGAAUAUGUUGCUUCGAGAUUAUAAUAUUGUUAUUGAGAUUGAGUAUAAGUGUAAAGUUGAACAUGUGUUAAUUUGUGAGAUACAUGUAAACAUGUGAUGGUGGAUUGUCACACUAUGAGAAGUGAAAUUGUGAAUGAGUUCUAGUUGUGGAUAAGUGUGUAGUUAACACUUGAUGUGAAAUUACUUGUGUUGUAAGCUAUGAAUUGUACAAUAACCCGACCAGUGUUAUCUUGAGAAAAGCGUUGAUGCGCAGUGUUAAAGAGAAAAUGUAGGUUUCCUAUUUAGGAGCCAAUGUUAAAUCAUAGUGCGAUUGUGUUGAACGUGUUUAAAACACGAGUGUAAGGUCGUGGGUAUUGUAUAAUUCAUGAGCAGUGUCUGCAUGCAAAAAUUAUUUUAGGGGUUGGACCUGAAUCAGGAGGGAGAGGCCCUGACGGACUCUUCGGAGUGUAGGCCUUGGGGGUCACCGGGUUUGAGUGCUCCUUUAAGCCUAUGCUGAUCUCAUAUGGUUGGAGCAUUCUCGCAAAACAUCGUGACCCUGACUGGUCUCCCUAUGAUCUUACUUAGUGAGAGUGACCUGACAAACCCAUUGUGUGGUGUGUCUUGUUAUGUACUCCUAAGCGCCCCAGUGUGGUUUUUCACUGACAUGGUACCACAUUGCAUAUAGGCUUGAGUCUUAGCAUAACUGUCGCAUACGCUUGCUAAUUGUUUAUUAUGAAAUUGAUGUGUUAUUAUGUCUUGAUCGGAGUGUGUGAUUUCUGUGUAUAGUGAUUGAUGAUUGAAAGGUGUAAUUGAUGGAUGAAAAGUGUGAUUGAUGAAUGACAAAGUGAUGAAAUAAUGUGAGAUAUGCUAAGUAAAUUGUAUUUGGCUACUAUAUGUUGUGUUGUUUCUCUCUAGUAGUUAGCAAUGUGAUAACUCACUCCCGAUUUGUUGUUUGUGUUUGGAUCCUGUGAUGAUCUUGAACUUUGUGUUCGGGGGAGCAGAUGAAUAGGUGGAUGACUAUGAAGAACCUCAUGCUAGAGGACACGAGAACACAACGCUCUGAUAGAAUGUGACAUUAGGAUAUAGGUUCUAUAUUAAUUGUAUGAAGACCUUGUUGAGUCGAGAAUACUUUAUUAUUUAUUUGGACAAGUUUGAAUAUGAUGUAGAAGAAAAUGAAUGUGAGCCUUUUUCCCCUUUGAAAGACUUGUUUAAAAAAAAAUAUUUUAA